Theobroma cacao (cacao) is the source of this 2231-nucleotide non-coding RNA. The record is from RefSeq and is a predicted model, not a curated record. NCBI's taxonomy places the organism in Eukaryota, Viridiplantae, Streptophyta, Magnoliopsida, Malvales, Malvaceae.
GCCGCAGCUCCUACACUCCUGCUCGUGCUCUAAACUGAAGUGCUGGGUUAAUUUUAGAAGACAUGGCGGAUUCAUGCUAUUCAGCCUCGGAAGGGUGCCAAACCACCUUCUUCUGCUGAACAGAAAUUAAGUAAAAAGGAUUCCUCCACCACAAUUUUCGACUGCAAGAAGUCUCCCAACCAUCUUAUUGUUGAUGAAGUUAUCGAUGAUGAUAAUUCCUUGGUUGCCAUGCACCCUAAUGCAAUGGACAAGCUUCAGCUUUUCUGAGGAGAUACGGUUUUAAUAGAGGGUAAGAAGAGAAGGGACACAGUUUGCAUUGUUCUUGCCGAUGAACAAUGUGAAGGACAAAAAUUUAGAAUGAUCAAGGUUGUAAGAUCCAAUCUAAGAGUACACCUUGGGAUGUUGUGUCUGUUCUUCAUCACUGUCCUUAUGUGAAGCAUGGGAACCCAGUUCAUAUCCUUCCAAUUGAUGAUACAAGUGAUGGUUUAACUAUUGACCUAGGUGUAUUUCUGCAGUCAUACUUUCUGGAAGAUUACCCACCUGUAAGAAAAGGUGACAUUUUCAUAGCUAAAGGUGCAAUAAGAACUGCUGAAUUUAAAGUAAUCGACACAGACCCUCGUGUUGUUGUACCAGAUACAAUUGUAAACUGGGAAGGAGAGCCUAUUACAGCCGUUACAAAUAUGCUACAGAGAAAGUAUUGUAGCCUGGUGAAUAUCAUGUUGUUGCACCAGAUACUAUUGUAACCUGGUGAAUAUGUCAGUGUGACUGCAAAAUACGCUAUUAGAGGAAGUAUUGAGAAGCUGGGGAUGUCAGGAUCCUGGGAGGGAGAAAAAGAAGAGAGAAAACCCUGAAAAAAUUGAAGAAGAUGAAAUUGAUGAUGUUGCUGAUAUAAAAGGCAGCACUUUGAGGAAUCAAUAAAACAUGCUCGCUGAAGUGUUAGCAAUGAGAUAUCAGGAAGUACCAGCUCUUUCCUCAGAUAUAGCAGCAAUCCCAUGUAUUUGGUUCUGGAUUUCGUUUUCCAGAAAGAAGAGAAAAUGCCACCAGAGGAGCAUCAGACCCAUUUUCUUCUGCCGCAGCUGCUGGUGAUGAUGAUGAUCUGUACAGCUGAAUUGAAACCAUUUCAUUUUGAAGCGCUUGUUACACAUGGGAUGGGGUUCUAAAGAACGGAGUUGUUGGCCAUUAAACCUUGCCCUGGAAAAUGUGAUGUUAACAUCAAAAGGUAAGGAAUCAGGAGAUUAGAAAGUUGUGUGUUUUUUUAGGACCAAACAUAUCCUGGUAAGCAGAAAAGGGUUAUUAUUGUUUUCAUGGUGAAAAAAAUUACAGAGCAGAAAACCUGAGGAUUCACCUUCUGAUUCUAUAAAUUGCUGAACCAAUGGUCAUAAUGACAAAGCUGUGCUGAAAGUGAUCCAUCAUUAGUCCGUCCUUUGCCCCUAUCUUUCGACUUGAUGACCUAUGGGGUGAUGUGGGAUCGCCUCCCCUGCUGCAUGUGGUGGACCUUUUUACCUUUAGAUUUCCUCACUAACAAAAUACAGCAUUCAUCAUGUCCUUGCGGGAUAUGUUGGAAAUCUUUGAUGUGCCUUUUCUUCUUCCCAGUUUCCCAAAAUAUAUGGUAAAUGGUUUAUUUUCCUUCUCUUAAUUCUUUAUUGGUACAAAUCAGAAUACAUGGUUUAUUUCCAGGAGGUCUUGUUCUUUGUUUCGCGAAUCAGGCCCAUCGCACCAGAUGAUAAUCUCCCAUGAGGGCUCCAUUAGGUUGUAAAAGUCUCUGGAUUUUUUUGUCAGCUUUACCACAUGCGGCAGGUAAAUGCAAAUCAGGUGCUGAAGUAGCUAUUUAACUUGAUUUCUCUUGCUGCAUUAGGAAAUAGUAGUAGUAAUGUUGAUUUUACUGUCAGAAAACUUCCUGGAAGUUUUUCAUUUGCAUCUGAUUAGAAAAGGAAGAGACGAAAGCUGAUGCAUGGGUGUGAAUUUGCCAACUGCUGCUAAUUAAACUUAACCAAGACUGACAUGAUCAAAAGGUUGCUUGGAAUUUGGAUGCAUAACCAGUCUCCGAAGCUGAUGAGUAAGUUAUUUGAGAAAGACAGACAGCCAGCCAGCCAACCAAACGUACUGAUCGAAAGUGCAUGCAAAUUUGUAGAUUGAUUUAACAUUUGAAGGGAUGUCUCGUUUUGCUUGUAGUUGUAGCUAGAAGCUUUGUUUUUUCACAUGAUCACAUCCCCAAUAUUCCAUUAUCAAAA